GAUGUGGCGCAGUUGGUUAGCGCGUCAGGUUGUGGCCCUGAAGGCCGUGGGUUCGAAUCCCAUCAUC
RNAcentral lists this transfer RNA (67 nucleotides) under bovine gut metagenome. It matches the Rfam family "tRNA". From Rfam's summary of the family: Transfer RNA (tRNA) molecules are approximately 80 nucleotides in length. Their secondary structure includes four short double-helical elements and three loops (D, anti-codon, and T loops). The record is from RNAcentral.